This 253-nucleotide ribosomal RNA is filed under the name uncultured bacterium. RNAcentral's name for it is "partial 16S ribosomal RNA". It matches the Rfam family "Bacterial small subunit ribosomal RNA", at positions 524 to 776 of the family's 1533-position model. The record is from RNAcentral.
AACGAACAGGGCAAUCGAUGUUCGGAAUAACUGGGCUUAAAGGGUGCGUAGGUGGCCAAGUAAGUCAAGUGUGAAAUUCCACGGCUCAACAGUGGGAGAGCGCCUGAAACUGGAUGGCUUGAGGGCAGGUCAGGAAGAUGGAAUUGCCAGUGGAGGGGUGAAAUCCGUUGAUAUCGGAAAGAACGCCGGUGGGGAAGGCGGUCUGCUGGACUGAUAAUGACGCUGAGGCACGAAAGCCAGGGGAGCGAACGGG